This is a non-coding RNA of Gasterosteus aculeatus aculeatus (three-spined stickleback), 2782 nucleotides long. Lineage: Eukaryota; Metazoa; Chordata; Actinopteri; Perciformes; Gasterosteidae. The record is from RefSeq and is a predicted model, not a curated record.
UAGGACUGGAGGGGGAUCGCAGCCCACACAUGCCAGCGCACAAAGCCCGGCAUUCAUGCAUCGGUCCGCCGUGCUCGACGCCCACUGCUGUGACGGCGUACAGACAGAAAGACGGCCAGCAGGACGGGGAAAGGCAGAGCUGAUGUUCCAUGGAAAGGAAAAACAGGAAUAGCGCUGAAUGAAUAGUACCCUCGACACACCUAGCCGGCGCUGCAGCUCCGGGCUCUGAAGGGUGCAGUGUUCGGGGACAACGCGGCAGUGUUUUGGCCUCAACCGCUUUUAAUCGUGGAGGGAAGUAGAGGUGUAACUGCUACUACGGUCCUGUAGAUCCCGCUGAGUGGAGUGGUGCUCAUACUGGGGAGAGUGUUAAGAAGGUUUGACUUAUUUAAAUAAAGGAGUUUGGAUGCCACACAUCUAACAUCUGACAGGAAUCGGGUCUCUAAUGCAAACAAACCCUUUCUGCUCCCGAGCUGACCGCUAAAAAACGUUGUGAGACGAGUCUUACUCUCGUAAUUGUUUUUCCAGUAGCAGAGCUAAGUUGAGUAAAGAGCUGACGUGUGCUGUGAGGGGAGAAAGGGUGUCGUGCAUCAUGGAACUAUGGAGUCGGGCCUGGUUUUGCCACGAAUGGCAUCACUGGCUUGAAACGCUGGAGUGACCAGGCACACAGAAUAAGACAAUGUUCCUUUGCUAAGUGUUGGCGACCAGAGAAAGGCUCCUUCAUCCGGGGACGAGAUCUCCUGUCACUCCUCUGCUCAUCGGCCCGGGUUCUCCUGCCAAGCUGAGACAGCUCCGAUCCACUGGGUGUGCUUCGGAUGUUUGCGUCUGACGGAAUAAAAAGGGUUCAGUGGUUCCUGUUGCCCCCUUUAACUUCCAUGCCUUCAUUUGUCCAGGGUGGUGGGUAUUAUCUUUAUGCUUGACUGGAUGGUGGGAAACACACACAGUGAGCGAGCGCCUCCCUCCAAGGGGCUGCUGUUAUGGUUCAACAUUCCUUUGACAUUACCUUCUUCUUCUUUCUAAUUUCAGUAGCAGCAGCGUGUGUGUGAGAGCGAGUACUUUACCACCUCUGCCUCAUUUGGGAACAUUUGGGAAUCUCCUUGGUUUGAUUGGUUAAUCACUGAAGAUGAACUGAUCACGCGUGUGCGUGAUGCACAGCUCACAGUUUGAGCAGAUAAGAACUCAGAGUGUCAAUGGCAGGACGUGUUAUGGUUGCAGAGGCCCAGUAGCAGAUUAGCAAGCUGAAGCGAGCCGACCCAAAGCGUCCUCACACUCAUUUUACCAUCAGGGACGGAAGUCAGUUCGUAGAACUCCCAUCGGCUAUCUGUAGUGUGCUAAAUGCAUGAAUAGGUUGUGACGAGCUGUAACCACAACUAUCAGCCAAUGAAUAAUACAUCCCACUUGAAGGUGUGCUCACGUUAACCAGGGUGCUGCAGGUCCUGCUGCUGUCCACAGAGCUGAAGACUAGCAGAGGUUUCCUGCCGCGCAGAGAUGCAGAGAUCACCGUCAUGUACGUUCAGCCCUGAGACUAAAGGGAAGGAGACAGAAGUUCAUCUACCACACACACACACAACAUGGCUUCUGCAGACCUGAGGUAACAGACCUGACAGGCGUCUAACACACACACACACACACACACACACACACACACACACACAGCCACCAGGCCUCCCUGUGCUGCAGUUCGGUCAUUCAACCCUUUGAGUAGCCGAGUACUGGUACAGAUAUUUGAUUCCUCCUGAUGUAGCUUUUCAUUUGCCGUAUUGUAGAAUGUAGCACGAGGACACUAAAAUGAGCAGAGGUGAAUUUUAUGCUCGGGAAUAUUCCUGUUUUAUAGGAGCAAUUAUGAGUAAUGAUGAAACAAAUAAAUCAGACGAUGCACAAGCAGCUUCUGAUCCGAUCCUCUGCAACCUUUGAAUGAGCUCAGGGACGACGUGGGGAAAGAAAUCAGGGCGCUGGAGGGAAUUGCGAGCCAGUACAUGUUACGAAUUUAGAAAUCAUGAAAGCAGUAAAAAGAAACUCAACAAUUCUCCUUUUGGGGUCUCUAGAGAAGCGCUGGCUUUAGCUGCUCCCCGUGCCACAUGGCCCCAUCCAGGGGCCCCAACACACCCAGGAGAUGCUACGUGCUGUGUCUCUUGGGGGUUUAUUGAAAACUUCGACCCACACAUCGCCAACAUCACAUUAAUACGUCUAUCGGCGCUGAGGAGGCAGCGAGGGAUGAAACCAUUACCCGCCGGUGAAGACAAAGCGGCGGGGCAGAUAUGAGCCUGGAGAAGUCCUGGAGAAGUCCUGGAGAAGAAGCAGCCGGUGUUUUUGAAGGCCCUGCUGCUGUGAUUUAGAGCCAGAUGAGAGAGGAGGACGCAGGAGGCCCUGGAUGAAGGAAUGCUUCCACCCUUCCUGAUGUUAACUGCCCCACUGGGAGGAACACCAGCAGGGACCUCUAAGGAUGCGACACUGCAGAGCUUUCACUCAAAACCCCCACGUCAGGUCAUACUUUUUAGAGGUGCUCUAAAUCAGUGGCGCACAACCUCCGAGUCAUUCGUGUGCAAAAUAUAAAAAAUGUUUUGAAUUUGGAAAAAUGGCGGCAUCCUCUCCCAAUUACAUGUGCUUGGUCCUGUUUUUGGUCUGACGCUUUACUGCUUGGUUGUACAAUGUUUUCAUUAUAAUCCUACAAACAACGUAACAGCUUUUGCCUGGUCAGCGUCAGCCAGAACUAUUGCUGUUUGCUUGGGGGUUCAAAUACUUAUUUUCUGCAUCAAAUGCAAAUAAAGUCAGAAAUGUUAUAAAA